Long non-coding RNA from Triticum dicoccoides, 765 nucleotides. RefSeq lists it as uncharacterized. The transcript has 3 exons. The record is from RefSeq and is a predicted model, not a curated record. NCBI's taxonomy places the organism in Eukaryota, Viridiplantae, Streptophyta, Magnoliopsida, Poales, Poaceae.
UCCAUGUGCCAGAGCCAUGAGUUGGUUGCGAGAUCUUAUGGGUUUCACCUCUAGCCUACCCCAACUUGCUUGGGACUAAAGGCUUUGUUGUUGUUGUACCCAUUCGAAAGCGUCUACACUGCAGAAAUAGACAUUGGUGGUGGACACAGUGUGGUUGGUCUUUUGCAGAAUACAUAAGAUGAUUAUCUGGUUAGGUAUGCUGUCGUGGUGUACUGAUUGAGCAGGAAUUCAGCGGUGAAGCCGUCGGAACUUGGCGCCUUGCAUGCGGGCAGCCGCUUGAUGGCCUGCCAGAUUUCCACAACAUCAAAGGGCGCAUCGAGGUCAUCUAGGUUUGCAGGCGUGAUGAGGGUGGAGAGGUCCAGGGUGCACUCAAGGGGCACGGCGUAGCCAAGCAGGGCGUCGAAGUGCGCGUACGCCGUCGCAACCAUGUCGCUCAGGUCCGUGAUACCUCAUCUUCAACCAUUAGGUGUUGCACCAUGUUCUUUUGCCGCCAAUAGGAGCAUUGCCGGUGGUAGAAGGAUGUGUUGGCGUCCCAUCCUUAAGGGUCGCUAGGCGGGCACGUUGGAGGGUGGUGGUGCGCUCCAAGGAAGCAAGGCCCAUAUAGGAGGCCUUGAUCUGACGACGUAGCCAGUCCUCGUGCAGGGAUAGAUCCUUGCUCUCUUGCUCGGUGUUGAGCCUAAGGAGAAGCUCUCGACAGAUCGCCAACUUGAAUUUUUUUGGAUUAUGCAUCUAUCAAGUGUUAGUGUGAUGAUGUUGUUGCCUUUA